RNAcentral lists this long non-coding RNA (1798 nucleotides) under Parus major (Great Tit). RNAcentral describes it as "lncRNA (ENSPMJG00000007293.1)". Lineage: Eukaryota; Metazoa; Chordata; Aves; Passeriformes; Paridae. The record is from RNAcentral.
GGAGGAGAGAGCGGAGCCGGCCGUGCCCGCCAGGUUGGGAAGCGGCCGGGAGCGGGGCGCGUGGGGCGGCGGAGGGGAGGCGGGCGGGAGGCGGCGGGCGGGCAGGCCGGUGUGAGCUGUUUGGCCACCGGAGCCAAUCGAAAGCGGGGCCUUGAUCCUCUCCUCGGGCAGUGGCUGCGCCGAGCCAGUGCCGCGCUCCCCGCAGCCCUCGGGACCGGCACGGCCGCCUCGCUCUCUCCGCGCACCGCCGGCCCCACCGAGCGCCUAUGGGCAUCUGCAGCCGGCGAGGGCUUCGCACCACCGCCACCGGCAGCAGCGGCAGAGGGCGGCGACCGCCACCCCGCUUCAUCGCCCCUUGGGAUCUAUAGCCGGCGGACGGAGCGCGCUGCGGAGCCUUCCCCGCCUCCGUGCAGGUAUUACAAACAGAGAGGAAUUUGGGUGUUUGCUGUCAUGAGGACAUUACAGAUGUUUUCUUCUGUGCAAACCUCUGCAGUUGGCCUCAGAUCUUUGAGGAUGUGGUUGUUUGUCAGCCUGUUCUGUCAUCCUGAGACCUCUGGGUGCAGAGGAGUUUCUGGUCUAUUGUGGAAUGUAUUUGGACUGAUGCAUUACUCUGAUGAACAUUGUGAGAGACAUCAAUGCACAGUGAAACAACAGAAAACUGGGGGAGUGUAUGGAAGCCGAUUUAACAGAAAGCUGUCAGUGCCUUUAACAAAAAUAAAUAUUACUUUGCAAUUGAUUAAAAAUAAGAGCUGUAUAUUUAAGAUGGCAGGCAUCUUUCCCUGUUUAAAUGCUAACUAAUCCAAACUUCAAACUUAAUUCAACUGCUGUACAGUUUCCAUCUCUUUCUUCUAAUUACAAAUGGGAAGAGGGUGUGUUCCCUGGUGCUUCUGACUUGUGUGCAGGGUAGGUUAUCACACUUAUUCUAAGGUCUGGUAACUUUUCAAGCUUUUAGGCCUGAAUGCAGGAAGCCAAUUAAGUGUUUGCUUAACUUCUACAGUGUUAGUUUAAAGCUGCCCUGUCUUAAUCAGAGUCCUAAUUACUAAAAUGCUCCCAUACCUGCAUGAGAGCUUAGUCCUAUCUGUUGACUGUUAAUUAUAUUACAUUUAUUCUUGCAUAAAAGCAGCUGUAGUUAAAUGGAAAGCCUUAGCUCACGUGGUUCUCAGAAUCACCCAGGCUUUUGGAGGAUGAAGGUGCCUUUGUAGAGUAACAAGGGAGAAGCUUAAUGAACAGGUUCUGUGCACAAGGCAUGUUCCCUUUGACUGGCUGGUCAUUGUGGUGUCUGUACGGUGGCAGAUGCACCAGCUGGUGCUCUUUGCCAUUGAAGCCAUCUCCUGAGAAACAGAACGGGGCCAAAUGUACAAACUGCUUCAGCCUUCUGCUGAAUGAAUGCUCCUGAAUGUUUGCCUUGUGUUUUUCUUACUCAGUUAUUAGCAGCAUCACUCCAUCUCUUACCAUGUCACGUGAGUGCACAACUUACGCUUUUGCUUGAGGAGGGCAAAAAUCCAUAUGAAUUCAAGAGCAGAACAAGUGACCAACUCUUUUUACAGCUCUAGUGCUCUGUUCUGAAAGGGAGGUUGGACAAAUAUGUGCAUUCAAAAUAUAUUAUAAUUCUGACAGAUUUUAAUUUUUUUUCCAAGCUAUAAACCGGGAGUUUGGUUCUAUCUCAUGAGUAUAUGGCAAAUCUGUUACCUGGAAAGAGGAUGGAAAAGUGUUUCCUCCAACUUUUUUUUUGCCAAACCACUCUACUUGUUUGUUUGUCCUUAAUUCAGUUUAGUUUAAUUUUGUAUUGCAGUAAUUG